This is a long non-coding RNA of Amphibalanus amphitrite, 543 nucleotides long. RefSeq lists it as uncharacterized. The record is from RefSeq and is a predicted model, not a curated record. NCBI's taxonomy places the organism in Eukaryota, Metazoa, Arthropoda, Thecostraca, Balanomorpha, Balanidae. The transcript is spliced from 3 exons.
UCACCAGGGUGCAAAGAGGGGCGCUUUACAUUCGCCUACCAGCACCGUACUCAAGCAGUCCCACCCGUUGUUACGACCCGCAAAUCGACCGCUACUACAACGUCGGAGAUGUCUGGUCUUCUGCCUACUCGAGAUGUAAACUCAGUACCUGUGUCAACAUCGACGGAGUCCUCAACGUCGAGCGAUACUCGUGUCCGCUUGUGGCAAAGAACGUCGAUUUCGACCUGCUCAAGUCGGGGAACUACUACUGUCGCCAGGCCUGGGGCAACCGGAACAAGCAGUUCCCCUCCUGCUGCCCCAGUCUCCAGUGCAAGCACUACGUGAAGGGAAAGCUGGAGCCGCUACCCAAACACAUGUACCCCUUGCUGCACUGAUCAGCAUUUGGAUAUUUUGUUGUGUAUUACCUCGAGCAUAACUGUGCGUUUACUGCCCUGCACAAGAGAUUAUCAUCAGCAGUGAUUCAUGGAAAACAUUGUAUCCUCCUCCACAUCAUCAUAAGCGGUAGUGAUAGUUAGUAACGGUGAAUGAUGCACCACUCAAUGC